CCCUUAGACACUCUAGGCGGCACGCGAGCUACAAUGGGUGGAAGAACGUGUUACUGCCUCCGAAAGGAGGGGUGAAUCACGAAUUCUUGCCCGUGAAUGGGAUAGUUUGUUGCAAUUUUCGGACUUGAACUAGGAAUCCCUUGUAAACAUGCUCAAGAAUAGCGUGUUGAAUACGUCCCUGCCGUUUGUACACACCGCCCGUCGUUUCUUCCGACUGAUACUCAUUGUGAGUUGCAAGGACCCUUUAUUGGGAAAUUGCUGCAAAUGCUUUGUAUUGGAGGAAGAAAAAGUCGUAACA
Molecule: ribosomal RNA, 298 nt
Filed under: uncultured eukaryote
Lineage: Eukaryota
Description: partial 18S ribosomal RNA
Rfam family: Eukaryotic small subunit ribosomal RNA
Source: RNAcentral